RNAcentral lists this ribosomal RNA (232 nucleotides) under uncultured bacterium. RNAcentral describes it as "partial 16S ribosomal RNA". It matches the Rfam family "Bacterial small subunit ribosomal RNA", at positions 118 to 350 of the family's 1533-position model. The record is from RNAcentral.
UGGGCAACCUGCCCUCAGCUCUGGGAUAACCCCGGGAAACCGGGGCUAAUACUGGAUAUCAACUUGUGCCUCGCAUGGGGUGUUGUUGAAAGUUUUUCGGCUGGGGAUGGGCCCGCGGCCUAUCAGCUUGUUGGUGGGGUGAUGGCCUACCAAGGCGACGACGGGUAGCCGGCCUGAGAGGGCGACCGGCCACACUGGGACUGAGACACGGCCCAGACUCCUACGGGAGGCA